Long non-coding RNA from Columba livia (rock pigeon), 574 nucleotides. RefSeq lists it as uncharacterized. The record is from RefSeq and is a predicted model, not a curated record. NCBI's taxonomy places the organism in Eukaryota, Metazoa, Chordata, Aves, Columbiformes, Columbidae. The transcript is spliced from 2 exons.
UCCCAAGGGCGGGGAGCUGCUCCCUGCUCCCCAUGCCAGUGAACCACUCUCAGCCCCAGGGCUGGGUGAAUCUGCGGGGGCUCUGUCCUGCUCCAUGCCUCCCCCCCGAGGACACUAUAAAGUCCUUGCUGCUUGCUAGAGGCUCAAGCAAGGAUGGUUCCCUCCUGCUUGGCACAGAGGACCCCCAGGGGUCCCUUCCCUCCAGCCUGGCAGCAUCCUAAAGGAGGAACAAUCACCCAACAGUCGUGGGGACCAAAACUGAGGGGACCACACAUGAGACCUCUGCGGGGCCGGAUGAAGCACCAAGGAGGAACCAAGAGUGACACCAAGCUCUGAAGCACGGGCUGCUCCUGCAACUGCUGCCCCAUCUGCAACACAACACCUGCGAGCAGCAACCGUCCCAUCCUGUCUGGGCAUGUAAGGCUGGUUUGGGGGAGCAAACAAACAGGUAGCUCUGUUUGGGGGGGAUACACCACCACCCCACUGCUGGAGCAUGCUGUGGCUGCUAUCUGCUCCCAGGGGAGGGCUCAUUAAUAGUGCCAGGUUAAUUAAAUCAGCUUAUUCUGUGCAGAGA